AGACCCGAAACCCGGUGAUCUAGCCAUGGGCAGGUUGAAGGUUGGGUAACACUAACUGGAGGACCGAACCGACUAAUGUUGAAAAAUUAGCGGAUGACCUGUGGCUGGGGGUGAAAGGCCAAUCAAACCGGGAGAUAGCUGGUUCUCCCCGAAAGCUAUUUAGGUAGCGCCUCGUGAAUUCAUCUCCGGGGGUAGAGCACUGUUUCGGCUAGGGGGCCAUCCCGGCUUACCAACCCGAUGCAAACUGCGAAUACCGGAGAAUGUUAUCACGGGAGACACACGGCGGGUGCUAACGUCCGUCGUGAAGAGGGAAACAACCCAGACCGCCAGCUAAGGUCCCAAAGUCAUGGUUAAGUGGGAAACGAUGUGGGAAGGCCCAGACAGCCAGGAUGUUGGCUUAGAAGCAGCCAUCAUUUAAAGAAAGCGUAAUAGCUCACUGGUCGAGUCGGCCUGCGCGGAAGAUGUAACGGGGCUAAACCAUGCACCGAAGCUGCGGCAGCGACGCUUAUGCGUUGUUGGGUAGGGGAGCGUUCUGUAAGCCUGCGAAGGUGGCCUGUGAGGGUUGCUGGAGGUAUCAGAAGUGCGAAUGCUGACAUAAGUAACGAUAAAGCGGGUGAAAAGCCCGCUCGCCGGAAGACCAAGGGUUCCUGUCCAACGUUAAUCGGGGCAGGGUGAGUCGACCCCUAAGGCGAGGCCGAAAGGCGUAGUCGAUGGGAAACGGGUUAAUAUUCCCGUACUUGGUGUUACUGCGAAGGGGGGACGGAGAAGGCUAUGUUGGCCGGGCGACGGUUGUCCCGGUUUAAGCGUGUAGGUGUGUGUUCCAGGUAAAUCCGGUUCACUUUAACACUGAGGCGUGACGACGAGGCACUACGGUGCUGAAGCAACAAAUGCCCUGCUUCCAGGAAAAGCCUCUAAGCAUCAGGUAACAUCAAAUCGUACCCCAAACCGACACAGGUGGUCAGGUAGAGAAUACCAAGGCGCUUGAGAGAACUCGGGUGAAGGAACUAGGCAAAAUGGUGCCGUAACUUCGGGAGAAGGCACGCUGACACGUAGGUGAAGUGAUUUACUCAUGGAGCUGAAGUCAGUCGAAGAUACCAGCUGGCUGCAACUGUUUAUUAAAAACACAGCACUGUGCAAACACGAAAGUGGACGUAUACGGUGUGACGCCUGCCCGGUGCCGGAAGGUUAAUUGAUGGGGUCAGCGCAAGCGAAGCUCCUGAUCGAAGCCCCGGUAAACGGCGGCCGUAACUAUAACGGUCCUAAGGUAGCGAAAUUCCUUGUCGGGUAAGUUCCGACCUGCACGAAUGGCGUAAUGAUGGCCAGGCUGUCUCCACCCGAGACUCAGUGAAAUUGAACUCGCUGUGAAGAUGCAGUGUACCCGCGGCAAGACGGAAAGACCCCGUGAACCUUUACUAUAGCUUGACACUGAACAUUGAGCCUUGAUGUGUAGGAUAGGUGGGAGGCUUUGAAGCGUGGACGCCAGUCUGCGUGGAGCCGACCUUGAAAUACCACCCUUUAAUGUUUGAUGUUCUAACGUGGACCCGUUACCCGGGUUGCGGACAGUGUCUGGUGGGUAGUUUGACUGGGGCGGUCUCCUCCUAAAGAGUAACGGAGGAGCACGAAGGUUGGCUAAUCCUGGUCGGACAUCAGGAGGUUAGUGCAAUGGCAUAAGCCAGCUUGACUGCGAGCGUGACGGCGCGAGCAGGUGCGAAAGCAGGUCAUAGUGAUCCGGUGGUUCUGAAUGGAAGGGCCAUCGCUCAACGGAUAAAAGGUACUCCGGGGAUAACAGGCUGAUACCGCCCAAGAGUUCAUAUCGACGGCGGUGUUUGGCACCUCGAUGUCGGCUCAUCACAUCCUGGGGCUGAAGUAGGUCCCAAGGGUAUGGCUGUUCGCCAUUUAAAGUGGUACGCGAGCUGGGUUUAGAACGUCGUGAGACAGUUCGGUCCCUAUCUGCCGUGGGCGCUGGAGAACUGAGGGGGGCUGCUCCUAGUACGAGAGGACCGGAGUGGACGCAUCACUGGUGUUCGGGUUGUCAUGCCAAUGGCACUGCCCGGUAGCUAAAUGCGGAAGAGAUAAGUGCUGAAAGCAUCUAAGCACGAAACUUGCCCCGA
RNAcentral lists this ribosomal RNA (2111 nucleotides) under Salmonella enterica. Its description in RNAcentral is "partial 23S ribosomal RNA". It matches the Rfam family "Bacterial large subunit ribosomal RNA", at positions 711 to 2802 of the family's 2925-position model. Lineage: Bacteria; Pseudomonadati; Pseudomonadota; Gammaproteobacteria; Enterobacterales; Enterobacteriaceae. RNAcentral also lists the same sequence under 1 other name. The record is from RNAcentral.